UAGAGAGCCAUUGCGACCGCCGCCGGCUAGGACUACACUGAAGGAUGUGGAGGUCUGGCCACUGGAGGAUGCCUGUUUGCCCUGGGUUGUGCUGAAGCAUGAGAUUUGGCAUACAUAUGCAUCCUGAGGGUCCAGAUCUGAACCUGUCAAAAAGAUUUUCGCCAGUCAACAUUUAAACAUAGUCCAAGUGCUCUGUCCACUGCACCACCUCCUGACGGAGAGCUGAUGGACUCAAGGAUACAGAAUGAAACGUUUUUUGGAUAUGGCAACUAUAAGAAUUUGUUUUGCUUUACAAUAUAUGUUUGUUACAAGGGUUUUCCUUUUUCAAUUGCAGAAAACAUAAGAGGG
Phascolarctos cinereus (koala) is the source of this 348-nucleotide long non-coding RNA. RefSeq lists it as uncharacterized. The record is from RefSeq and is a predicted model, not a curated record. Lineage: Eukaryota; Metazoa; Chordata; Mammalia; Diprotodontia; Phascolarctidae.